This 21-nucleotide non-coding RNA is filed under the name Caenorhabditis elegans. The record is from RNAcentral. Lineage: Eukaryota; Metazoa; Nematoda; Chromadorea; Rhabditida; Rhabditidae.
UUUUUUUAGAGAUUUUGAUGU